AGCUCCAAUAGCAUAUACCAAUUCUGCUGCUGUUAAAAAGCUCGUAGUUGGAUCUACUCCGAGGGCCCAGUCUGCCUAACGGGCAUGUACUGGGUUCCGAGGAUACUCUAUGCUGGUUUUCUCAUGGUGCUCUUGAUUGAGUGCCUUGGGUGGCUAGCACGUUUACUUUGAAAAAAUUAGAGUGCUCAAAACAGGCGUUACGGCCCGGAUAGUGGUGCAUGGAAUAAUGGAAUAGGAUCUCGGUUCUAUUUUGUUGGUUUUAGGAGCGCGAGAUAAUGAUUAAGAGGGACAGACGGGGGCAUUCGUAUUGCGGCGUUAGAGGUGAAAUUCUUGGAUCGCCGCAAGACGAACAACUGCGAAAGCAUUUGCCAAGAAUGUUUUCA
This 383-nucleotide ribosomal RNA is filed under the name uncultured eukaryote. RNAcentral describes it as "SSU rRNA". It matches the Rfam family "Eukaryotic small subunit ribosomal RNA", at positions 587 to 972 of the family's 1831-position model. The record is from RNAcentral.